This 798-nucleotide non-coding RNA is filed under the name Homo sapiens (human). The record is from RNAcentral. Lineage: Eukaryota; Metazoa; Chordata; Mammalia; Primates; Hominidae.
UGAGGCUGCCGGGUCUCCUGUUCCAACUCCACCUAGGUAAGAGGAGUGGCCCUUCUCCCCCAGGGGCCAGCAUUUGAGGCUCCCUCCUAACUCUUGCUCCUGGUCUCAGUCUGUCUCCUCUCUUUAUAUCUGGCUCUAUUCUCUGUCUUUGGGGUUUUGGAGAGAGGUCCUCAGCGGGGGAGGGAGGGAGUUGGGGAAAGAGACUGCUUGCAGGGGAUCUCUGGUGGGGUCAGUCUCUGAAGUCCUCCUCUCCAGAAGCCCUGCCCAAGAAGAGCCAACAGACUUCCUGAGCCGCCUUCGAAGAUGUCUUCCCUGCUCCCUGGGGCGAGGAGCAGCCCCCUCUGAGUCCCCUCGGCCUUGCUCUCUGCCCAUCCGCCCCUGCUAUGGUUUAGAGCCUGGCCCAGCUACUCCAGACUUCUAUGCUUUGGUGGCCCAGCGGCUGGAACAGCUGGUCCAAGAGCAGCUGAAAUCUCCGCCCAGCCCAGGUGAGGCACAGAGGAGCCCCAGAGAAGGAUGGCGGUGGGAGGAUAGUCAGGGUUCUGCCCCCAGCCAAAUUCUCUUCUGCCUCCAGAAUUACAGGGUCCCCCAUCGACAGAGAAGGAAGCCAUACUGCGGAGGCUGGUGGCCCUGCUGGAGGAGGAGGCAGAAGUCAUUAACCAGAAGGUGAUGGGCAUCUGUCCCACUCCUUGGCAAGGACAGGAGUUGCGGAAUGGUGGGGCACUGGGAUCAGAAGCUGGAUCUGUAUUUUCUUUGGAUGGUCAGGUGGAAAGAGGCUGGGACAAGGUUUCAAUGAAGGGU